This 429-nucleotide ribosomal RNA is filed under the name Chloroflexota bacterium. Its description in RNAcentral is "Chloroflexi bacterium partial 16S ribosomal RNA". It matches the Rfam family "Bacterial small subunit ribosomal RNA", at positions 355 to 776 of the family's 1533-position model. Lineage: Bacteria; Bacillati; Chloroflexota. The record is from RNAcentral.
UGGGGAAUAUUGCACAAUGGGCGCAAGCCUGAUGCAGCCAUGCCGCGCGUAUGAAGAAGGCCUUCGGGUUGUAAAGUACUUUCAGCGGGGAGGAAGCGAGUAAAGUUAAUACCUUUGCUCAUUGACGUUACCCGCAGAAGAAGCACCGGCUAACUCCGUGCCAGCAGCCGCGGUAAUACUGAGGGUGCAAGCGUUAAUCGGAAUUACUGGACGUAAAGCGCACGCAGGCGGUUUGUUAAGUCAUAUGUUAAAUCCCCGGGCUCAACUUGGGCAGCGCAUCUGACAUUGGCAAGCUUGAGUCUCGUAGAGGGCGGUAGAAUUCCAGGUGUAGCGGUGAAAUGCGUAGAGCUCUGGUGUGAUACCGGUGGCGAAGGCCUCCGCCUGGACGAAGACUGACGCUCAGGUGCGCAAGCGUGGGGCGCAAACAGG